CAGUCGCCGCGGGAAUACAGAGGGUGCGAGCGUUAAUCGGAUUUACUGGGCGUAAAGCGUGCGUAGGCGGCUUCUUAAGUCGGAUGUGAAAUCCCUGAGCUUAACUUAGGAAUUGCAUUCGAUACUGGGAAGCUAGAGUAUGGGAGAGGAUGGUAGAAUUCCAGGUGUAGCGGUGAAAUGCGUAGAGAUCUGGAGGAAUACCGAUGGCGAAGGCAGCCAUCUGGCCUAAUACUGACGCUGAGGUACGAAAGCAUGGGGAGCAAACAGGAUUAGAUACCCCAGUAGUCCCUGUCUCUUAUAA
RNAcentral lists this ribosomal RNA (301 nucleotides) under uncultured bacterium. RNAcentral's name for it is "partial 16S ribosomal RNA". It matches the Rfam family "Bacterial small subunit ribosomal RNA", at positions 509 to 809 of the family's 1533-position model. The record is from RNAcentral.